CUCUAAUAGAAAUAAUUAUUAGUAAUAUCUGCUCAAUGAACUUUAAAUAGCCGCAACUUUGUUGUGCUAAGGUAGCAUAAUCAUUUGUCUUUUAAUUAAAGACUAGAACGAACGAUCUAACAUUUUAAUUCCUAUCUUAAUUAUAUAUUUUUAAAUUAUUUUAGAUAUUAAAAAAUAUCUAUUAAUUAAAAAGACGAUAAGACCCUAUUGAACUUUACUUUAGUUAAACUGGGGAAGUUUAUUAAAUAAUAUUUUAAUACAACAUUUUUGAAAAAUGAUCCAAAUAAUUUGAUUUAAUAAUCAAGUUACCAUAGGGAUAACAGCGUAAUAAUUUUCUAAAGAUCUUAUUUAAAACCUUGAUUACGACCUCGAUGUUGAAUAAUUACCUAAUAGAAGUAAAAAUUUAAUAAGGAAGUCUGUUCGACUUUUAAUUAAUUACA
RNAcentral lists this ribosomal RNA (440 nucleotides) under Toxopsiella sp. CG134. RNAcentral describes it as "partial 16S ribosomal RNA". The record is from RNAcentral. Lineage: Eukaryota; Metazoa; Arthropoda; Arachnida; Araneae; Cycloctenidae.